This 618-nucleotide ribosomal RNA is filed under the name uncultured bacterium. Its description in RNAcentral is "bacterial SSU rRNA". The stretch from base 1 to 538 matches the Rfam family "Bacterial small subunit ribosomal RNA", at positions 338 to 873 of the family's 1533-position model. The record is from RNAcentral.
CCUACGGGAGGCAGCAGUGGGGAAUUUUGGACAAUGGGCGCAAGCCUGAUCCAGCCAUGCCGCGUGCGGGAAGAAGGCCUUCGGGUUGUAAACCGCUUUUGCCAGGGAAGAAAAGGUUCUGGCUAAUACCUGGGACUCAUGACGGUACCUGAAGAAUAAGCACCGGCUAACUACGUGCCAGCAGCCGCGGUAAUACGUAGGGUGCAAGCGUUAAUCGGAAUUACUGGGCGUAAAGCGUGCGCAGGCGGUUAUGCAAGACAGAGGUGAAAUCCCCGGGCUCAACCUGGGAACUGCCUUUGUGACUGCAUAGCUAGAGUACGGUAGAGGGGGAUGGAAUUCCGCGUGUAGCAGUGAAAUGCGUAGAUAUGCGGAGGAACACCGAUGGCGAAGGCAAUCCCCUGGACCUGUACUGACGCUCAUGCACGAAAGCGUGGGGAGCAAACAGGAUUAGAUACCCUGGUAGUCCACGCCCUAAACGAUGUCACUGGUUGUGGGUAGGUUUCUUCUCUAGUACGUAGUCUACGCGUGAGUAGACGCCGUGGGAGGUACGGCCGCGAGUAGAACGUACGAAGAAGUAGACGCGUGAGACGUGCCGACGGACGACGACGAGGGAGGAGG